Molecule: long non-coding RNA, 221 nt
Filed under: Lathyrus oleraceus (garden pea)
Lineage: Eukaryota; Viridiplantae; Streptophyta; Magnoliopsida; Fabales; Fabaceae
Description: Pisum sativum (pea) long non-coding RNA (PSAT_LNC035968)
Source: RNAcentral
UACAAAGGUAUACUUUUUCCUUCUUUUUGUUUUUGUUUUUUGUUAUGUUUAAUGAUGCUGACAUUCCAAUUCUUAAUUCAGGCUGCUCGAAAACCUCCUUUAACUCCCAUCAAAAUCCAAAAAACCAUAGAGGCCCCCGUUAUAAUAGAAUCUGACGAAAAGGAUUUGUCGUCGGUGCUCGACCUAACUUCCAGGAAGAGGAAGCAGCAACCGAAGGUCAC